AUUUAAAAGUCAACUUGUUUUAUUUAAAUAUGUAUAUGUUUAAUUUUUUAGAAAAAUUUAAAUAAAUAAUUGAGGAAGUAUCUUUAAAAAAAACCUUAAUUUAAAACUAAAGCUUAUAAGUACCGUAAGGGAAAGUUAAAAUUUGCGGAAAAGAAAAUAUAUUUUGUACCUUUGGUAUCAGGGACUAUCAAUAUAAUUUAAAAAUUUUUAAUAUUCUCGAAGUAAGGUGAGCUAAUUUAAUAAAAGUUUUUAUGUUGUAAAUUGAAACUUAAUAAUGUUAUUUUAGUGGUGAUAUGUCAGUCGUACCUUAUAUAUCUAGUUAUCUUUGAAAUAAAUUUAAUUUAACUUUUACGAAAACCUUUGUAAAGUUAUAUCUUUAAAGGGAAGAGCUUUUAAAGAUUAUUUUGUAAUAUGAUUUUUAAAAUAUUAAUUGUAGAAUUAGGCUUAAGAUCAGCCCUGUUAUUAGUACGUUGUAGUUAACACAAUAAUCCAAAAUGUUUUAUUUAAAUCUAAUUAAGUAAAAGAUAUUUUUUUUAAACAGAAUUUAAAAAUAAAAAAUGAUUGUAUUAGUAUAAUGUUUUGUGAUUUGUAAUAAAUAGAAUAAGAAAUUCAUUUUAAACACUUUUCGCUGCAAUCAAGGAACUCGGCAAAAAUAAUUUUCGCCUGUUUAUCAAAAACAUGUCUACUGGGAUAAAAUGUGUAGUCUGGCCUGCCCACUGAAAUUUAAAGGGCCGCGGUAUCUGAACCGUGCUAAGGUAGCAUAAUCAAUAGUCUCUUAAUUGGGGUCUAGAAUGAACGGUCGGACGAAAAAUUAGCUGUCUUGGGUGUAAAAUUGAACUUUACUUUUAAGUGAAAAGGCUUAAAUUCAAUGAAGGGACGAUAAGACCCUAUGAAGCUUAAUGUAAAUUAUUUUAAAGUAAUUUUAAAUAAUUGGGUGUUUUAUUUUUAUAAUGUUUACAUUGUGCUGGGGCGGCUGUAAUAUAAAUUUAACUGUUAUUCGGUAAAAAAUAAUUAUAUUUAGACAAACUUGAUCCUUUACUUACGGAUUACAAGAUUUAAGUUACUCUAGGGAUAACAGCGUAAUUCUUCUUGAGAGUUCAUAUCGACAGAAGUAGUUGCGACCUCGAUGUUGAAUUAAAAUUUCAUUAAGGUGUAGGAGCUUUAAUAGUAGGUCUGUUCGACCUUUAAAAUUUUACAUGAUUUGAGUUCAGACCGGCGUGAGCCAGGUUAGUUUCUAUCUUUUAUUUGUAUAAAAUCACUCUAGUACGAAAGGAGAAAGUGGUUGGAAAAUUUUCUUUAUUAAGAUGAAUUUUAAUUACUUUGGCAGAUGAAUGCACUAGAUUUAGGAUCUAAUCAUAUAGAAAAAU
This 1367-nucleotide ribosomal RNA is filed under the name Paratya australiensis. RNAcentral's name for it is "16S ribosomal RNA". The stretch from base 619 to 1367 matches the Rfam family "Archaeal large subunit ribosomal RNA", at positions 1423 to 2882 of the family's 2987-position model. Lineage: Eukaryota; Metazoa; Arthropoda; Malacostraca; Decapoda; Atyidae. The record is from RNAcentral.